RNAcentral lists this long non-coding RNA (420 nucleotides) under Gallus gallus (chicken). The record is from RNAcentral. Lineage: Eukaryota; Metazoa; Chordata; Aves; Galliformes; Phasianidae.
AACAAAGCCUGUCUCUCUCCAGACUCCACUCUUCAGCAACAUACCACUCAGGAAAGGCCCUGAAAUCCAAAACAUCACUGAGGAGAUGUUUCAGUCUGUGUGAAGGUCAACACCCAGGGUACUGAGAGGGCACCAAGAGGUGCAUCGUGACAAAGAGGCCUGUCCCCCUGCAGAGCCUGGGCCUGGGCUUCAGAAGAUGCUGAUGAAGGCACUGGGUUUGUCCCAUCAUCCAAACACUUACAGAGAAAAUGAGAGCAAAGUUAAACUCACAUCUUCAGAGCAGUGCUGACAGAUCUUUGAACACAUGCAGACAGGAGAGUUGAUUGGGUCACUCGGGCUAAUGGUGCUACUUGUGGAGAUGAUUCAAAGUGCUCCAAGUCAGUAAUCACCUAAUUGGCCUCGGUGGACUUCAGAUCUCUG